This is an unclassified non-coding RNA of Erinaceus europaeus (western European hedgehog), 346 nucleotides long. Its record names the gene 7SK. It matches the Rfam family "7SK RNA". From Rfam's summary of the family: 7SK was discovered as an abundant small nuclear RNA in the mid-70s but a possible function has only recently been suggested. The record is from Ensembl. NCBI's taxonomy places the organism in Eukaryota, Metazoa, Chordata, Mammalia, Eulipotyphla, Erinaceidae.
GGAUGUGAGGGCAAUCUGUCUGCGACAUCUGUCACCCUAUUCAUCUCCAGGGUUGAUUCGGCUGAUCUGGCUGGCUAGGUGGGUGUCCCCUUCCUUCCUCACCGCUCUAUGUGCACCCCUCCUGAAGCUGUGCACUCUGUGUAAGAGGAUGGCUUUCCCUGAAUAGAAACGGAACGGUCUUCCGUGGAGGGUAUACGAGUAGCUGCACUCCCCUGCUAGAACCUCCAAACAAGCUCUCAAGAACUACCAUCUUCAGUGCUACUUUCUUUAACUUGGCUGUGUGUCAGGUGGUGUCCCUUCCAGACAGACAUCAAAGUGACUCUCCAAGAAGGAAGUCUGUGGGCCU